GAAGCAGGACUGGCAUCGGGCUAUCUUCUCACCUACUCCACACUAUCAACACGUAUUCAUUUUCUUCUUUCUCUAGUCUUCUGGUCUUUUCGGAGCUCCCAGCCAUGGAAAGGAGCAAAAGGCUGAGCCAGAUUAGAUCCACUCCAUCUCAAGACAAGCCCGAGUCUCCCCUCGGUUUGCUACUUUGUGGUCCUCACCUCCACACGCACCUCGUGGCUGGGAUGAUGCUUGGAUCCCGGCCGGUGAACACGUAGCAGGGACCUAAUAGCAGCUGCGUGAUGGAGAACGCGAGGUCGUCGAACUCGACGAUGCCUUUCCCGUCAGCGUCCAUGGAGGCGAUGGAGUGGAUCUCGUUCCCUUAAGCUCCUGCGCAAUUUUGGGGAUCCUGGGAGGGUUAUCCGUCCCCAACCGUCGAGCUGCAGGCGUCGUUGCUGUUCCCAAGCGAGGCACCUGACGCAUCUUCUUCAUCCUCUACAGUAGCAGCCCGGCUUUGGCGUUGCAUUCUUCCACCUGCAAUAUACUUUAAGAUUGACUUCUUGUCCAUGUACCAAAUGAAGAUAGUAAGUUCUGGACGCCUAACGCCGCUUAAUGCAAAAUUUUAAUCAGUUUAUGUCCCCUCCACUUUUUUCGGGUUUGGGACUGGAAUAGGUAGUGUUCGACCCCCUACACCCAUUAAUUUUCAGCAAAUUAAGGAAAUAAUUAUUGUCUUUAUGUUUUAGUAAUUGAAUAGUAAAAUUAGGUCUGAUUGCUACAUAUAAUAGAUAAUGAUGCUAGGAUCCUCUCACCAUUGAAUUGUACUUUGUAAUAAGCUUGAAAUAUCAGAUGAUAUAGAGUGUUGAUGCUUGGCAUUCUUGAACUAUUUCCGUCAAAUGUUGAUGCAUGUUUCCAGUAAUUAUGCAGAGUAGUAGACCAUAUCCGUCCUAUCAUAUCUUGUUAGCAUAGAUAAUUCAGUUAUUAUUUUGAAGAUAGUUUGCAGUGUACUAUUUUUUCAGGUAUUUAUGGAUAUAUAAAAGGCUGGUAGCAUCCGUCUAGUUCACGGCGAUGGACAUGGCCUCUACACCGGCGAACAUUCAAGCCAAUACCCAUCUAGUUCGUAUGUAUGCAAGUAGCGCCACAUUUAAUAAAUCUUUGUUUCUGUCUGACCAAAGAGGGCAGGCCUGGCGCAGUGGUGAAGUCCUCCCCACUUGUGCCAAGAGGUCCUGGGUUCGAACCAGCCUCUCUGCAUUGCACUUUGCAGGGGUAAGACUAGGUUCCUAUAAUCCCUCCCCAGACCCCACCUUGUGUGGGAGCUUCUAUGCACUGGGUCUGUCCUUUUUCUGUCUGACCAAAUCCUUUGGUUUGUAUUGAUCAGUGUAUACAUGUCCUUGCCCUGAGUGCAUGUACCACUCUUAUAUUGUAAAUUCCCAAAGAGACAAUUGAUGACGGCACCUUAGAUUACAAAUUGAUAAUGUACAAUUAGUUAAGUGAAAUCGGUUCUGGCUCUCCAUGUUUCAUGGGGUGAAGCACAAUAUGUGUAAAGCCCUAUCGAGUUUUACCAUCUGAGCCACUUAGUACUGCGAUACAGUGGAGAUUCCAGCAAUCCUACAGUCCGUGGAUACUGCUAUUCAGUAGGUUAAUAGCGUGCCCCCCUUUUUAAAAAACCAUUUUAUUUGUUUUUAGUAACUUUAUUCCUUUUUGUAAUAUAUUUUGAGCUCUUCUUUAGAUAGCUAAUUCUUUGGUCUCAUUUAUUUGCUGUUUCUAUGAGUGUUUGUCCUCAUAUUUAGGUGAAAAUCCGAGUUGAAGAGGCGUGGGUCUAUCAUAAGGACCUGGUGAUUUUCAGGAAUGGAUAUGCGGAUCAUACAUGUUACGAAUCUACAUAACCUACCGAGUAUGCCUCUUUUUCGAUUCUAUUGUCGCCAUAAAGAAAAGCCUCCUUUUUCAAUUCUUUGUGAAAUUAAAAAAUAAGUGCAUAUGAGAAAGGAUGGUGUAAUAUCAAUAUAAUUUGCAUAAUUAAAUGUUAAGAUGAGAACGACUAAACAUUCAGUGUCUCCAAACUGGAUAAGUCUGCAUGCACACAUAGUAAGUUAAAUCCAUGUUCUCAUGGACUCUUAAAGUAAACACAAUUGUAUGCUAAUGCAGACUACUUCCAUGUUCUCAUGGCUUGAAGGGGAGCCUUGGCGCAGUGGUAAAGCUGCUGCCUUGUGACCAUGAGGUCAUGGGUUCAAGUCCUGGAAUAAGCCUCUUACAGAAAUGUAGGGAAAGGGUGCGUACUAUAGACCCAAAGUGGUCGGACCCUUCCCUGGACCCUGCGCAAGCGGGAGCUACAUGCACCAGGUUGCCCUUUUUUGCAGCCAAGGGGAUUAAGUUUGUAGUUUAGCACUUGCUAAUGCGUCAUCCUAGCCUGUGUUCCUUCCAGGUGCUUUCCUAAUCCUCUUGUCUUCUGUUGAUUCUUUUCUCUUAUUUUUGCAUUCUGUCCUUUUAUUUUUCGUUUUUUCCUUUAGAUUUUGAAUCCAUUCUCACUAAAAGUUGAAUGUGAAUAAUAUACUUUCCCUGCUAGGCAAACUUUAAUAGAAAACUAAUUGUGUUUAUAGAUGCAUAUGUGGCAUUAUAGCACCAAGCUGUUGGUGCAUGUCCGUUCAAACAUAAAAAAAGAACCUUCUUUCUUAGCUGAGAAUACCUCGUCAUUGGUACCAUCAAUGCUAAAAUGGUCAUGAUUUUUGUCAUGUCCUGCCAGUAAGGUAAGGUAGAAUACCAUAUAGUUUAAAAUAUAAAAUUGGACAUUUGUUUUUCUUAAAACAAAAAUUUAAAGUUUUGACAUGUGUAAAUUAUUUUUGCAGGUACAUGCAUUUAUUGGGUCCAAUAAUCACCCUGGUUAUCGAUAAACGAUUAGAAACAUUGGAUUUGGGGUAUUGCAAAAAUAGUUUAAAGUUCUCACCUUUGAUACUUGAAUAAAAUUGGAAGUGACAGUCAUGAUUGUUUUUUGUGCCAAACUUCCAUUUACCAUAUUUGCUAAAAUAUAUCCCCGUAGAGUGAUCCCUACCUUCUCACCACUGAAAGAAUUUGACCAUGUAAAAGUAAUGUAAAAAGUCAUACAUAAUUCUGAAAUUGCUUACAUAAUUGAAAUAACUUACAAUAGCAAAAGGACUUGCAUCUCGCAGAUGUUUGAAGUUUGCUCUCUGCUUGUCCGUCUGUUCUUCUGUACUUCCUCAAUUGGUUUCAUCAUGGUGAUACAUGCUGGAGAUAAUUUGAUGCACAUAUUACUUACUGGAGGUGGUGUGAUUGCUUGACGGAGCCGAUAACAGUCGAGGAGAGUCAACAGAGGAAACUGGGGCACUUGCAACUAUUGGAGGAAGGUGAUGUCCAAGUGCCGAUCGCUGGAGGAAGACGAUGACGAAGGUGGGCUCUGAAGGUGGGAUCCGACUUGUGGGGCGUGCUGAAACUGACUUGAUGCUAGCUUGUCAGCUAGUUUCAUCGCCCUGGCACCAUUGCUAACGUGAUUGCCAGAGUUCAUAAAUCACAACAUUACCUUCUCGCGGUAUCGCCUCGCCCUGAUUGCUCAAGGUAGUAGCCGCCUGCCUGGGACAACAAAUCAAUCUAAAGUUAGACUUUGUUCCCUUGGUGUUUUGGCAGCAAAAUAUCAUCAACCUCUUGGUUGUGAUGCUUUAAUUGUAAGUUACACUGCAUAUGUAGAGGCAACCUUCCAUUAUUAAUCUAUAAUUAUAAUAGUAACUUUGCACAUA
Triticum aestivum (bread wheat) is the source of this 3719-nucleotide long non-coding RNA. RefSeq lists it as uncharacterized. NCBI's taxonomy places the organism in Eukaryota, Viridiplantae, Streptophyta, Magnoliopsida, Poales, Poaceae. The record is from RefSeq and is a predicted model, not a curated record. The transcript has 3 exons.